Rosa chinensis is the source of this 443-nucleotide long non-coding RNA. RefSeq lists it as uncharacterized. The transcript is spliced from 2 exons. The record is from RefSeq and is a predicted model, not a curated record. NCBI's taxonomy places the organism in Eukaryota, Viridiplantae, Streptophyta, Magnoliopsida, Rosales, Rosaceae.
GGGGUGGAGAGAGAGAGAGAGAGAUCUAGAUUGAGAUCCAUAUGUAGAUCGAGAUCAUUUUAGGCCAACGGAUUUGGAGUCCUUAGUUGAUUGACAAAAUCAUUUGAGGCCUUCCCACUUUAGAUUGAUUUGAAGAAAUUAUCUGACUAUUUAUUAAUGAGGAUCAUUAACAUGUAGAAACUUACUACAAAAGAAGUUUAGAGUGAUGAAGUAGCUGCUGAGAUUCUCAAAGUCCUCCGAUUUGGAUAAUUUUGAGUUAGAUUUAUGAGUCAUUUGUAAUAAUUGCUUCGUUAAAAAGCAUUGAAGGCCAUUAGACCAAGCUACCAUAAUACAAAAAUAGAGGUACCUGUGGCUGUAGACUGUCAUGUUAGGCCGAAUGUAGUUUGAGAAGUAUUUGUAGAAUAAUGAAAUUGCAAAUAUUAUGAUCAAAUACUUUUGGCGAA